Molecule: unclassified non-coding RNA, 510 nt
Filed under: uncultured Glomus
Lineage: Eukaryota; Fungi; Glomeromycota; Glomeromycetes; Glomerales; Glomeraceae
Description: SSU rRNA
Rfam family: Eukaryotic small subunit ribosomal RNA
Source: RNAcentral
AGCAGCCGCGGUAAUUCCAGCUCCAAUAGCGUAUAUUAAAGUUGUUGCAGUUAAAAAGCUCGUAGUUGAAUUUCGGGAUCAAUAUGUUGGUCGUGCCUCGGUACGUACUAGCUUAUUGGUUUCUCCUUUCUGAAGAACCAUGAUGUCAUUUAUUUGGUGUCGUGGGGAAUCAGGACUGUUACUUUGAAAAAAUUAGAGUGUUUAAAGCAGGCUCACGCUUGAAUACAUUAGCAUGGAAUAAUGAAAUAGGACGUUUGAUUCUAUUUUGUUGGUUUUUAGGAUCGACGUAAUGAUUAAUAGGGAUAGUUGGGGGCAUUAGUAUUCAAUUGUCAGAGGUGAAAUUCUUGGAUUAUUGAAGACUAACUACUGCGAAAGCAUUUGCCAAGGAUGUCUUCAUUAAUCGAGGACGAAAGUUAGGGGAUCGAAGACGAUCAGAUACCGUCGUAGUCUUAACCAUAAACUAUGCCGACUAGGGAUCGGAUGAUGUUAAUUUUUUAAUGACUCAUUCGG